GCAGUUGGUGGACCUGGUCGCGCUGUGCCGGGUGUGACACUACGGAGAGCAGAUUACAUUAUCAAAAGCACCAAGUUGAAACAUUUGCAAGGUGUGCAUCAUUUCACAAUUAUUGGCAAUGGUUCAAUGGUUUCAUCUGCUUUGAACGGUUUCUUCUCUAUCAUUAAGAGGUGAGGAAACUGAGCACUAAGACACUAAAUAACUUGCCCAGGGUCAUACGACAGACAUGAGAGGUUUAUAUCAGGCAGUCUCCACCCCUGUUCCGAAGUCAAGAGGCUGACUCGGGUUGCUACUUCUUGACAGACCGGACCCCAGAUCGCCGAAGACCAUUUGGACACACUUCUAUCAAAUCCUGGCGGUCUCCUUCUAACAGGUAUGCAGUUUUCUCUGUAGACCCUUAAUACACAGAUAAGACUUGAAGGAAUUUAUCUGCAUUCCCUGAUUGGUGUGGCAAUGGAAGUCCCGCCCUGCAUCCCGACACUGAGCACAGCUGCAGCUUUCGCUUGUUCAUUCAUUCAGUAGAUAUUAUUUUCAUGCCUAC
RNAcentral lists this long non-coding RNA (541 nucleotides) under Homo sapiens (human). RNAcentral describes it as "non-protein coding lnc-USP53-6:9". The record is from RNAcentral. Lineage: Eukaryota; Metazoa; Chordata; Mammalia; Primates; Hominidae.